RNAcentral lists this ribosomal RNA (393 nucleotides) under Bartonella sp. 1007a. Its description in RNAcentral is "bacterial SSU rRNA". It matches the Rfam family "Bacterial small subunit ribosomal RNA", at positions 1115 to 1509 of the family's 1533-position model. The record is from RNAcentral. Lineage: Bacteria; Pseudomonadati; Pseudomonadota; Alphaproteobacteria; Hyphomicrobiales; Bartonellaceae.
UUGCCAUCAUUUAGUUGGGCACUCUAGAGGGACUGCCGGUGAUAAGCCGAGAGGAAGGUGGGGAUGACGUCAAUUCCUCAUGGCCCUUACGGGCUGGGCUACACACGUGCUACAAUGGCGGUGACAAUGGGCAUCGAGGCCGCGAGGCCUAGCUAAUCUCCAAAAGCCGUCUCAGUUCGGAUUGCACUCUGCAACUCGAGUGCAUGAAGUUGGAAUCGCUAGUAAUCGUGGAUCAGAACGCCACGGUGAAUACGUUCCCGGGCCUUGUACACACCGCCCGUCACACCAUGGGAGUUGGCUUUACCCGAAGGUGCUGCGCUAACCGCAAGGAGGCAGGCAACCACGGUAGGGUCAGCGACUGGGGUGAAGUCGUAACAAGGUAGCCGUAGGGGA